This 255-nucleotide ribosomal RNA is filed under the name uncultured bacterium. RNAcentral describes it as "partial 16S ribosomal RNA". It matches the Rfam family "Bacterial small subunit ribosomal RNA", at positions 524 to 776 of the family's 1533-position model. The record is from RNAcentral.
CACGUAGGGGGGCAAGCGUUGUCCGGAUUUAUUGGGCGUAAAGAGCUCGUAGGCGGCUUAGUAAGUCGGGUGUGAAACCUCCAGGCUCAACCUGGAGACGCCACCCGAUACUGCUGUGGCUAGAGUCCGGUAGGGGAGCGUGGAAUUCCUGGUGUAGCGGUGAAAUGCGCAGAUAUCAGGAGGAACACCGAUGGCGAAGGCAGGUCUCUGGGCAUUAACUGACGCUGAGGAGCGAAAGCAUGGGGAGCGAACAGG